Molecule: RNA transcript, 896 nt
Organism: Glycine soja
Lineage: Eukaryota; Viridiplantae; Streptophyta; Magnoliopsida; Fabales; Fabaceae
Gene name: leucoanthocyanidin reductase-like
Exons: 3
Source: RefSeq, a predicted model, not a curated record
UGUUUAGUGUAGAAUCUCUUACUUGUUAUAAUGCAAUGUUGCAGAGGUUUUUGCCUUCAGAGUUUGGGCAUGAUGUGUACAAAGCAGAUCCUGUGGAGCCAGGUCUAACAAUGUACAAGGAGAAGCGACUGGUUAGGCGUGUGGUUGAGGAAUCUGGGAUUCCAUAUACCAAUAUCUGUUGUAAUUCCAUUGCUUCUUGGCCUUACUAUGACAAUUGCCACCCAUCACAGCUUCCUCCACCUUUGGAUCAAUUACAGAUAUAUGGUCAUGGCAAUGUCAAAGCUUACUUUGUUGAUGGCAUUGAUAUUGGAAAGUUCACAAUGAAGGUUGUUGAUGAUGCCAGGACAGUCAACAAAAAUGUUCAUUUUCGACCAUCUAACAACUGUUACAGCAUCAACGAGCUAGCUUCUUUGGGGAAAAGAAAAUUGGCCUUACAAUCCCCAGAGUGACCAUCUCAGAAGAUGAUCUUCUGGCAGUAGCAGCAGAAAAUUGCAUACCGCGAAGUAUUGUGGCAUCUUUCACUCAUGACAUAUUCAUCAAAGGUUGUCAAGUUAACUUCAACAUAGAUGGACUUGGUGAUGUUGAGAUUAGCACUCUCUAUCCUGAUGAAGCAUUCAGAAGCUUGGAGGAUUGCUUCGAGGGCUUUGCUCUUAUGAUCGAUGACAAGAUUAAUAAAGGGGAAAAUAAAAUUACCGGCACAAAAUCUGUAGUGGAAGCAGUGCCAUUCACAGCUUCCUGUGGAGAAGAAUCACCUCCUCAAAAAUGUUCUAACUUUGUUGUUCCAAUUACUAGGCUUUGGUGAGGUGGAAAUGUAUUGAGUCAUUAGAAAUGGACCUUUUAUGUUGAUGUUAUUUCGAAGACUGUUUUAUCUAAAGUGUUUUAUUGUAUUCCUAGAG